RNA transcript from Capra hircus (goat), 3152 nucleotides. It is a transcript of the gene named 5-phosphohydroxy-L-lysine phospho-lyase, with no coding region annotated. NCBI's taxonomy places the organism in Eukaryota, Metazoa, Chordata, Mammalia, Artiodactyla, Bovidae. The transcript has 13 exons. The record is from RefSeq and is a predicted model, not a curated record.
UCCGCCCAGCGUCUCGGAGGGACUGCCCGCGAGCGCUAUGGCGGCGGAUCAGCGAGGGAAGGCCGCGACUCUGGCCCUGAGGCGGCGGCUGCUCAGCAAUUCCUGCAGACUCUUUUUUCCUGAGGAUCCUAUUAAGAUUGUCCGGGGCCAAGGGCAGUACAUGUAUGAUGAACAGGGGGCAGAAUACAUCGAUUGCAUCAACAAUGUGGCUCACGUUGGGCACUGCCACCCUCUCGUGGUCCGAGCAGCACACGAACAGAACCAGGUGCUCAACACCAACAGCCGAUACCUGCACGACAACAUUGUGGAUUACGCGCAGAGGCUGUCAGAGACCCUGCCAGAGAAGCUCUGUGUGUUUUAUUUCCUGAAUUCUGGGUCAGAAGCCAACGACCUGGCCCUGAGGCUGGCACGCCAGUACACAGGACACUGGGAUGUGGUGGUAUUAGAUCAUGCUUAUCACGGUCAUCUGAGCUCCCUGAUUGACAUCAGCCCCUACAAGUUCCGGGACCUGGAUGGGCAGAAGGAGUGGGUCCACGUGGCACCUCUCCCAGAUACCUACCGGGGCCCCUACCGGGAAGACCACCCCAAUCCAGCUGUGGCCUACGCCAGUGAGGUGAAACGUGUGGUCAGCAGCGCACAGGAGAAGGGCAGGAAGAUUGCAGCGUUCUUUGCUGAAUCUCUGCCCAGUGUGGGAGGGCAGAUCAUUCCCCCUGCUGGCUACUUCCCAGAAGUGGCAGGGCACAUCCGCAGGGCCGGAGGGGUCUUUGUUGCAGACGAGAUUCAAGUGGGCUUUGGCCGAGUAGGCAAGCACUUCUGGGCCUUCCAGCUGCAGGGGGAAGACUUCGUCCCCGACAUUGUCACCAUGGGCAAGUCCAUAGGCAAUGGCCACCCUGUAGCCUGCGUGGCCACAACACAAGCUGUGGCAAGGGCAUUUGAAGCCACUGGCGUUGAGUACUUCAACACGUUUGGGGGCAGCCCAGUGUCCUGUGCUGUGGGGCUGGCCGUCCUGGAUGUCUUGGAGAAGGAGCAGCUGCAGGCUCACGCAGCCUGUGUGGGCAGCUUCCUGAUGGAGCUCCUUGGACAGCAGAAAGCCAAACAUCCCAUUCUUGGAGACAUCAGGGGUGUUGGGCUCUUCAUUGGUGUGGAUCUGAUCAAAGAUGAGGCCACAAGAAUGCCAGCAACCGAAGAGGCUGACUAUGUGGUGUCCAGCCCCAGGCUGCCUGAGAGAAGCCGCUUCUCCAGAGCCACAGCUGGGACUGUGGCAGAAGCAGACUCCCUACUGCUAGGUUUUCAGAUGGACUCCUGCUCCUCAUCUCGGCGGGGAGUGUCUGAGGACUCGGCAUCUUAAGACUCAGAAGCCCUCACCCCCGACCCUGGCUUGCAUGUUCACUUGAGCCCCAGGACCCUUCCCCUUCUUGUUUAGUUAUUCCCUUUUUUCUUCCAUUCUUUACUCCUACCCACUUCCCCCUCCUUGGAAAACCCAUCUAGUGUUUGAUGUGUAUUCUUAUUCAAGUUGUAAAAUGUGCAUCCAUUCUGUUUUGAAUUCAUACAAACUAUACUGAUGUAAAAAUCUCUCCACAUGGAUUUGGAGGCUGACCCCUCCUGCAUGGCCACCCAACCCUUGCCUUUCUGCUGAAGCACAUCCACCAGCUUGCCCACCAGUUCUCUCAGGGAGCCUCAGGACUCGGGAAUUCAGAAUGAUCUCUGGGAAAGAGGGAGCCAGCUCUUCAGCCAAGCCUGACUGCCUCCACUUUACAAGCACCCCUCUCUGCACCCACCCCCCAGCCCCGUGUAGUUUCUCCAGUUGAGUGAAAGCAGUGCCAGUGUUUCACCGGCAGUCACCCUGCUAGGAGGAGCCAGAGCUGGAUUUGAAGUCAGAACCUGGGCUUUCUAGCACGGCUGUUGUCAGUGCCAGGAAGACCGGGAUGGGAUAAGGGAGCCAGAGGCAGGCUGAGGACACUGUUCCUGAUAAGACUUACAUAAAAGUAAUACACUUUAAAAAUGAGAGCAGUGGGUCAGAGAAUGUAAAUAGUCACAUCAGACCCCUUCUCGAGAGGCCAAAAUACCUUCCUGGGUUAAAAGUAUAAAUGUGGACUAUUAAAAGUUAUUACUAGGUACCAAUGAUAAUGCUGAAGAGAGUAAAGUCAUCUUCCAAAAAGAACUGGAAAUUAAAACUGGAUAGUCCAGCCUGGAGUUACAAGAUAGUCUGGGUGCAGGGUAGAGAAGGGGGUGGCAGGAGUUACUGAAGCUAGGUUACAUGAAUUCACUGCACUAUUCUAUUUGUGAAUGCUGGACCCUUCCUAUGACAAAAAGUAAACCAUGCAGGACAUAAACCAUACGUCGAAAUGGAAAAAGCAGGGCAUCUUGACAUCCACAUUGUAGCCCCACGGCCAUUCUGUUUGGCUUACACUGGGCCUCUAGGGAUGGAUGAAGCAAGACCCCUGCUCUGGGGGCGGAGGUGGGGGGGUGGCAGCAGCCUCAGGGCACCUCAGAUGGGAAUGCUGUGCUUGUCUUUGAUGCUAGGCCACAGAGUUGGGCAGGAAUCUGGGUGGGGGUUGGCCAGUGCUGUUAUUUUGGUGGGAACUGGCUUAGGUGGGUUCUGAGAGCAGUGUGGCUGCCAACACCAGGCUGAGAAAUCUGAAGAUCUGUAUGGAGUGCCCUUGGCCGGUGGGCAGCAGGAUCUGCUGUGUCCUACCUUCACAGGCUUAAGGAGAACUACAUUUUGUUGAGCACCGACGGGCCUGGGAGGAAUGUACUAAAGUUUAAGCCCCCGAUGUGUUUCAGCUUGGACAACGCACGACACGUGGUAGCAAAGCUAGAUGCCAUCCUGACAGACAUGGAAGAGAAAGUGAGAAGUUGUGAGACCCUAAGGCUCCACUCCUGAGGCAGCCCUGCUGAGAGGUAUCUUCCUCUAGGUUUCACAACUUCGCUGGGAUAGAAUCCCGUUUUCAAUGGCAAGUCAACACAGGUGUUCCAGGGUGCUCCAGACUCCAACUGGCCUGGGCCAGCAUCCCCAUUCAAGGUGGUAACCCUCACUGUACUGUCUUCACCUCCUUGAACAACUGCCUCAAACCUCUGCCGCUCCACUUUCUUUAAAGCUGUGCAAGUCCUACGCAGGGCCAAGUCAUUAAAGGAAACUAACCAAAGACGAA